UGAUUAUGAUGAGGACAAUCUCGAAGCAACCUCUUGAACCUUUCCCAGGCAGAAUAUAAGGACUCGCCUUCCCUCUGUUCAAAAGCGACUAUCUCACUUCUGAUUUU
This is a small nucleolar RNA of Nicotiana attenuata, 107 nucleotides long. It matches the Rfam family "Plant small nucleolar RNA R71". From Rfam's summary of the family: R71 is a member of the C/D box family of snoRNAs containing the C (UGAUGA) and D (CUGA) box motifs. The record is from Rfam. Lineage: Eukaryota; Viridiplantae; Streptophyta; Magnoliopsida; Solanales; Solanaceae.